GUCUAUGGCCAUACCACCCUGAACACAUCCGAUCUUGUCUGAUCUUGGAGGCUAAGCAGUGUCGGGCCUGAUUAGUACUUGGAUAGGAGAUGUGAUAAUUCCUAAAGUUUAAGGAAAGCAAACCCUUACUGAUC
Microcebus murinus (gray mouse lemur) is the source of this 134-nucleotide ribosomal RNA. Lineage: Eukaryota; Metazoa; Chordata; Mammalia; Primates; Cheirogaleidae. The record is from Ensembl.